UUAGAGCGUUGGACUAGUAACCAGCAGGUAGCCUAGUGGUUAGAGCGUUGGACUAGUAACCAGCAGGUAGCCUAGUGGUUAGAGCGUUGGACUAGUAACCAGCAGGUAGCCUAGUGGUUAGAGCGUUGGACUAGUAACCAGCAGGUAGCCUAGUGGUUAGAGCGUUGGACUAGUAACCAGCAGGUAGCCUAGUGGUUAGAGCGUUGGACUAGUAACCAGCAGGUAGCCUAGUGGUUAGAGCGUUGGACUAGUAACCAGCAGGUAGCCUAGUGGUUAGAGCGUUGGACUAGUAACCAGCAGGUAGCCUAGUGGUUAGAGCGUUGGACUAGUAACCAGCAGGUAGCCUAGUGGUUAGAGCGUUGGACUAGUAACCAGCAGGUAGCCUAGUGGUUAGAGCGUUGGACUAGUAACCAGCAGGUAGCCUAGUGGUUAGAGCGUUGGACUAGUAACCAGCAGGUAGCCUAGUGGUUAGAGCGUUGGACUAGUAACCAGCAGGUAGCCUAGUGGUUAGAGCAGGUAGCCUGGUGGUUAGAGCGUUGGACUAGUAACCAGCUGGUAGCCUAGUGGUUAGAGCAUUGGACAAGUAACCAGCAGGUAGCCUAGUGGUUAGAGCGUUGGACUAGUAACCAGCAGGUAGCCUAGUGGUUAGAGUUUUGGACUAGUAACCAGCAGGUAGCCUAGUGGUUAGAGCGUUGGACUAGUAACCAGCAGGUAGCCUAGUGGUUAGAGCAUUGGGCCAGUAACCAGCAGGUAGCCUAGUGGUUAGAGCGUUGGCCUAGUAACCAGCAGGUAGCCUAGUGGUUAGAGCGUUGGACUAGUAACCAGCAGGUAGCCUAGUG
Molecule: long non-coding RNA, 839 nt
Organism: Oncorhynchus keta (chum salmon)
Lineage: Eukaryota; Metazoa; Chordata; Actinopteri; Salmoniformes; Salmonidae
Exons: 3
Source: RefSeq, a predicted model, not a curated record